CAGUUGCCGCGGUAAUACAGAGGGUGCAAGCGUUAAUCGGAAUUACUGGGCGUAAAGCGCGCGUAGGUGGUUUGUUAAGUUGGAUGUGAAAUCCCCGGGCUCAACCUGGGAACUGCAUCCAAAACUGGCAAGCUAGAGUAUGGUAGAGGGUGGUGGAAUUUCCUGUGUAGCGGUGAAAUGCGUAGAUAUAGGAAGGAACACCAGUGGCGAAGGCGACCACCUGGACUGAUACUGACACUGAGGUGCGAAAGCGUGGGGAGCAAACAGGAUUAGAUACCCCCGUAGUCCCUGUCUCUUAUAC
Molecule: ribosomal RNA, 301 nt
Filed under: uncultured bacterium
Lineage: Bacteria
Description: partial 16S ribosomal RNA
Rfam family: Bacterial small subunit ribosomal RNA
Source: RNAcentral